CUACGGGGCGCACCAGUGAGGAAUUUUGCGCAAUGGGGGCAACCCUGACGCAGCAACGCCGCGUGAGUGAAGAAGGCCUUUGGGUCGUAAAGCUCUGUCAACAGGGAAGAAGUUACCUUGUAUUAAUAGUGCAUGGUAUUGACGGUACCUGUGGAGGAAGCAUCGGCUAACUCCGUGCCAGCAGCCGCGGUAAUACGGGGGAUGCAAGCGUUAUUCAGAAUCAUUGGGCGUAAAGGGCACGCAGGCGGUCUUGUCAGUCAGAUGUGAAAGCCCGGGGCUCAACCCCGGACGUGCAUUUGAAACAGCAAGACUUGAGUACGGUAGAGGAAAGCGGAAUUCCUGGUGUAGAGGUGAAAUUCGUAGAUAUCAGGAGGAACACCGGUGGCGAAGGCGGCUUUCUGGACCGAAACUGACGCUGAGGUGCGAAGGCGUGGGUAGCGAACAGGAUUAGAUACCCGGGUAGUC
This 465-nucleotide ribosomal RNA is filed under the name uncultured bacterium. RNAcentral describes it as "partial 16S ribosomal RNA". It matches the Rfam family "Bacterial small subunit ribosomal RNA", at positions 339 to 795 of the family's 1533-position model. The record is from RNAcentral.